GUGAAUCAUCGAAUCUUUGAACGCAUAUUGCACUCUCUUCGGAGAGUAUGCCUGUUUGAGGGUCAGCCUAAAAAAAAUCGACAUAGUCGCUGUUUCGCGGUGACAUUCGUCGGAAAUUGGGUCAUCUUAAACCUUUGGGUUUUAAGCGGCUUAAAAUUUUCUUUUACGUUCCCACAAACGUUUUAAAAUUUAAUUUUUUAAACUUUAA
RNAcentral lists this unclassified non-coding RNA (208 nucleotides) under Glomus sp. RNAcentral's name for it is "partial contains 5.8S ribosomal RNA and internal transcribed spacer 2". The stretch from base 1 to 65 matches the Rfam family "5.8S ribosomal RNA", at positions 84 to 154 of the family's 154-position model. Lineage: Eukaryota; Fungi; Glomeromycota; Glomeromycetes; Glomerales; Glomeraceae. The record is from RNAcentral.